RNAcentral lists this non-coding RNA (21 nucleotides) under Arabidopsis thaliana (thale cress). Lineage: Eukaryota; Viridiplantae; Streptophyta; Magnoliopsida; Brassicales; Brassicaceae. The record is from RNAcentral.
CGAAACUUAGAGGUCGCUGGU